This 439-nucleotide ribosomal RNA is filed under the name Lachnospiraceae bacterium oral taxon 419. RNAcentral's name for it is "bacterial SSU rRNA". It matches the Rfam family "Bacterial small subunit ribosomal RNA", at positions 28 to 450 of the family's 1533-position model. Lineage: Bacteria; Bacillati; Bacillota; Clostridia; Lachnospirales; Lachnospiraceae. The record is from RNAcentral.
GAUGAACGCUGGCGGCGUGCUUAACACAUGCAAGUCGAACGAGAAGUGAAGACGGAAACCUUCGGGCGGAAGGCUUUAUUUCGAGUGGCGGACGGGUGAGUAACGCGUGGGUAACCUGCCUCAUACAGGGGGAUAACAGUUGGAAACGACUGUUAAUACCGCAUAAGACCACAGCACCGCAUGGUGCGGGGGUAAAAACUCCGGUGGUAUGAGAUGGACCCGCGUUCGAUUAGCCAGUUGGCGGGGUAACGGCCCACCAAAGCGACGAUCGAUAGCCGAUCUGAGAGGAUGACCGGCCACAUUGGGACUGAGACACGGCCCAAACUCCUACGGGAGGCAGCAGUGGGGAAUAUUGCACAAUGGGGGAAACCCUGAUGCAGCGACGCCGCGUGAGUGAAGAAGUAUCUCGGUAUGUAAAGCUCUAUCAGCAGGGAAGAAA